CCUACGGGUGGCAGCAGUCGAGAAUCAUUCACAAUGGGGGAAACCCUGAUGGUGCGACGCCGCGUGGGGGAAUGAAGGUCUUCGGAUUGUAAACCCCUGUCAUGUGGGAGCAAGUUAAAAAGAUAGUACCACAAGAGGAAGAGACGACUAACUCUGUACCAGCAGCCGCGGUAAUACAGAAGUCUCAAGCGUUGUUCGGAAUCACUGGGCGUAAAGCGUGCGGAGGCUGUUUCGUAAGUCGUGGGUGAAAGGCGCGGGCUCAACCCGCGAACGGCCCAUGAUACUGAGAGACUAGAGUAAGGGAGGGGGAAGCGGAAUUCUCGGUGUAGCAGUGAAAUGCGUAGAUAUCGAGAGGAACACUAGUGGCGAAGGCGGGUUCCUGGACAUUAACUGACGCUGAGGCACGAAGGCCUGGGGAGCGAAAGGGAUUAGAUACCCCGGUAGUC
RNAcentral lists this ribosomal RNA (446 nucleotides) under uncultured bacterium. Its description in RNAcentral is "partial 16S ribosomal RNA". It matches the Rfam family "Bacterial small subunit ribosomal RNA", at positions 338 to 795 of the family's 1533-position model. The record is from RNAcentral.